Esox lucius (northern pike) is the source of this 489-nucleotide long non-coding RNA. NCBI's taxonomy places the organism in Eukaryota, Metazoa, Chordata, Actinopteri, Esociformes, Esocidae. The record is from Ensembl.
CACAGGGAUCUAUGAAGAGGGCUAGAGGUCUGUUCCCCACACAGAUCUAUAAAGAGGGCUAGAGGUCUGUUCCCCACACAGAUCUAUAAAGAGGGCUAGAGGUCUGUUCUCCACAGGGAUCUAUGAAGAGGGCUAGAGGUCUGUUCCUCACAGAGAUCUAUAAAGAGGGCUAGAGGUCUGUUCUCCACAUGGAUUUAUAAAGAGGGUUCGAGGUCUGUUCUCCACAGGAACCUAUAAAGAGGGGUAAAUGUCUGUUCCACACAAGGUGCGUUAAUUUUGCUUUCUCAGGGAGAUGACAUCUGUUGUGGGGUCUAUGUUUAAACCAAUUGUUUGUCUGCUUUUCUCUUUUCACUAGCUACAACACUGUCAGCAUUCUUGUGUCGUGCACAAGCUGCUUUAAAACUGUAAAUGAUGGCCUAUUCUUUUUGGUAAAUGAACUGAAAUUGCAGCAUAUGAAAUUACAACAAGAACAAAGUUUGGAGAUAUGCU